Molecule: ribosomal RNA, 600 nt
Filed under: uncultured Deferribacteres bacterium
Lineage: Bacteria; Pseudomonadati; Deferribacterota; Deferribacteres
Description: bacterial SSU rRNA
Rfam family: Bacterial small subunit ribosomal RNA
Source: RNAcentral
CAUGCAAGUCAAGGAAGAACGUUUUCUUCGGAAAGCUAUUAAACUGGCGAACGGGUGAGUAACGCGUAGGCAACCUGCCCUAGAGAUUGGGAUAACAUCGGGAAACCGGUGCUAAUACCGAAUAAUGCAGCGGAUCCUUCGGGAUACAGUUGUUAAAGCGGGCUUCGGCUCGCACUUUAGGAUGGGCCUGCGUCCGAUUAGCUUGUUGGUAAGGUAACGGCUUACCAAGGCAAUGAUCGGUAGCUGGUCUGAGAGGAUGAUCAGCCACACUGGGAUUGAGAUACGGCCCAGACUCCUACGGGAGGCAGCAGUAGGGAAUUUUGCGCAAUGGGGGAAACCCUGACGCAGCAACGCCGCGUGACCGAUGAAGCUUCUAGGAGCGUAAAGGUCUGUCGUAAGGGAAGAAAAGUUUAGAUGUAAAUAAUGUUUGAACCUGACGGUACCUUACAAGAAAGCACCGGCUAACUUCGUGCCAGCAGCCGCGGUAAUACGAGGGGUGCAAGCGUUGUCCGGAAUCACUGGGCGUAAAGGGUCCGUAGGCGUCUCAAAAAGUCAUUUGUUAAAUACACCGGCUUAACCAGUGAAACUGCAUUUGAAACU